This 492-nucleotide ribosomal RNA is filed under the name uncultured bacterium. RNAcentral describes it as "partial 16S ribosomal RNA". It matches the Rfam family "Bacterial small subunit ribosomal RNA", at positions 29 to 507 of the family's 1533-position model. The record is from RNAcentral.
AGCGAACGCUGGCGGUAGGCCUAACACAUGCAAGUCGAACGGCAGCACAGUAAGAGCUUGCUCUUACGGGUGGCGAGUGGCGGACGGGUGAGGAAUACAUCGGAAUCUACUUUUUCGUGGGGGAUAACGUAGGGAAACUUACGCUAAUACCGCAUACGACCUACGGGUGAAAGCAGGGGAUCUUCGGACCUUGCGCGAUUGAAUGAGCCGAUGUCGGAUUAGCUAGUUGGCGAGGUAAAGGCCCACCAAGGCGACGAUCCGUAGCUGGUCUGAGAGGAUGAUCAGCCACACUGGAACUGAGACACGGUCCAGACUCCUACGGGAGGCAGCAGUGGGGAAUAUUGGACAAUGGGCGCAAGCCUGAUCCAGCCAUACCGCGUGGGUGAAGAAGGCCUUCGGGUUGUAAAGCCCUUUUGUUGGGAAAGAAAAGCAGCAGGUUAAUACCCCGCUGUUCUGACGGUACCCAAAGAAUAAGCACCGGCUAACUUCGUG